This 492-nucleotide ribosomal RNA is filed under the name uncultured bacterium. RNAcentral describes it as "partial 16S ribosomal RNA". It matches the Rfam family "Bacterial small subunit ribosomal RNA", at positions 28 to 507 of the family's 1533-position model. The record is from RNAcentral.
GAUGAACGCUGGCGGCGUGCCUAAUACAUGCAAGUCGAGCGAACAGACGAGGAGCUUGCUCCUCUGACGUUAGCGGCGGACGGGUGAGUAACACGUGGAUAACCUACCUAUAAGACUGGGAUAACUUAGGGAAACCGGAGCUAAUACCGGCUAAUAUUUUUACCCGCAUGGUUCAAUAGUGAAAGACGGUUUUGCUGUCACUUAUAGAUGGAUCCGCGCCGGAUUAGCUAGUUGGUAAGGUGACGGCUAACCAAGGCAACGAUGGGUAGGGGACCUGAGAGGAAGGUCCCCCACACUGGAACUGAGACACGGUCCAGACUCCUACGGGAGGCAGCAGUGAGGAAUAUUGGUCAAUGGGCGUAAGCCUGAACCAGCCAAGUAGCGUGCAGGAGGACGGCCCUAUGGGUUGUAAACUGCUUUUAUGCGGGGAUAAAGUGGCCCACGUGUGGGUUUUUGCAGGUACCGCAUGAAUAAGGACCGGCUAAUUCCGUG